GAUGAACGCUAGCGACAGGCUUAACACAUGCAAGUCGAGGGGCAGCACAGGUAGCAAUACCGGGUGGCGACCGGCGCACGGGUGAGUAACGCGUAUGCAACUUGCCUAUCAGAGGGGGAUAACCCGGCGAAAGUCGGACUAAUACCGCAUGAAGCAGGGAUCCCGCAUGGGAAUAUUUGCUAAAGAUUCAUCGCUGAUAGAUAGGCAUGCGUUCCAUUAGGCAGUUGGCGGGGUAACGGCCCACCAAACCGACGAUGGAUAGGGGUUCUGAGAGGAAGGUCCCCCACAUUGGUACUGAGACACGGACCAAACUCCUACGGGAGGCAGCAGUGAGGAAUAUUGGUCAAUGGCCGAGAGGCUGAACCAGCCAAGUCGCGUGAGGGAUGAAGGUUCUAUGGAUCGUAAACCUCUUUUAUAAGGGAAUAAAGUGCGGGACGUGUCCCGUUUUGUAUGUACCUUAUGAAUAAGGAUCGGCCAACUCCGUGCCAGCAGCCGCGGUAAUACGGAGGAUCCGAGCGUCAUCCGGAUUUAUUGGGUUUAAAGGGUGCGUAGGCGGCCUUUUAAGUCAGCGGUGAAAGUCUGUGGCUCAACCAUAGAAUUGCCGUUGAAACUGGGGGGCUUGAGUAUGUUUGAGGCAGGCGGAAUGCGUGGUGUAGCGGUGAAAUGCAUAGAUAUCACGCAGAACCCCGAUUGCGAAGGCAGCCUGCCAAGCCAUGACUGACGCUGAUGCACGAAAGCGUGGGGAUCAAACAGGAUUAGAUACCCUGGUAGUCCACGCAGUAAACGAUGAUCACUAGCUGUUUGCGAUACACUGUAAGCGGCACAGCGAAAGCGUUAAGUGAUCCACCUGGGGAGUACGCCGGCAACGGUGAAACUCAAAGGAAUUGACGGGGGCCCGCACAAGCGGAGGAACAUGUGGUUUAAUUCGAUGAUACGCGAGGAACCUUACCCGGGUUUGAACGCAUUCGGACCGAGGUGGAAACACCUUUUCUAGCAAUAGCCGUUUGCGAGGUGCUGCAUGGUUGUCGUCAGCUCGUGCCGUGAGGUGUCGGCUUAAGUGCCAUAACGAGCGCAACCCUUGCCACUAGUUACUAACAGGUAAAGCUGAGGACUCUGGUGGGACUGCCAGCGUAAGCUGCGAGGAAGGCGGGGAUGACGUCAAAUCAGCACGGCCCUUACAUCCGGGGCGACACACGUGUUACAAUGGCGUGGACAAAGGGAAGCCACCUGGCGACAGGGAGCGAAUCCCCAAACCACGUCUCAGUUCGGAUCGGAGUCUGCAACCCGACUCCGUGAAGCUGGAUUCGCUAGUAAUCGCGCAUCAGCCAUGGCGCGGUGAAUACGUUCCCGGGCCU
Molecule: ribosomal RNA, 1355 nt
Filed under: uncultured bacterium
Lineage: Bacteria
Description: bacterial SSU rRNA
Rfam family: Bacterial small subunit ribosomal RNA
Source: RNAcentral